Molecule: ribosomal RNA, 1038 nt
Filed under: Salmonella enterica subsp. enterica serovar Schwarzengrund
Lineage: Bacteria; Pseudomonadati; Pseudomonadota; Gammaproteobacteria; Enterobacterales; Enterobacteriaceae
Description: partial 23S ribosomal RNA
Rfam family: Bacterial large subunit ribosomal RNA
Source: RNAcentral
CCACUAAGCCAGUGGUGAACUCCACAUACGCAUCCUUUGCUGAGGAUACGGUUAACGGAGCGAAAGCGACGUUCAACCUCAAAAGAAGCAGAGGGGGCUUAGUGGUGGGGUGACUGCGUACCUUUUGUAUAAUGGGUCAGCGACUUAUAUUCUGUAGCAAGGUUAACCGAAUAGGGGAGCCGGAGGGAAACCGAGUCUUAACCGGGCGUUAAGUUGCAGGGUAUAGACCCGAAACCCGGUGAUCUAGCCAUGGGCAGGUUGAAGGUUGGGUAACACUAACUGGAGGACCGAACCGACUAAUGUUGAAAAAUUAGCGGAUGACCUGUGGCUGGGGGUGAAAGGCCAAUCAAACCGGGAGAUAGCUGGUUCUCCCCGAAAGCUAUUUAGGUAGCGCCUCGUGAAUUCAUCUCCGGGGGUAGAGCACUGUUUCGGCUAGGGGGCCAUCCCGGCUUACCAACCCGAUGCAAACUGCGAAUACCGGAGAAUGUUAUCACGGGAGACACACGGCGGGUGCUAACGUCCGUCGUGAAGAGGGAAACAACCCAGACCGCCAGCUAAGGUCCCAAAGUCAUGGUUAAGUGGGAAACGAUGUGGGAAGGCCCAGACAGCCAGGAUGUUGGCUUAGAAGCAGCCAUCAUUUAAAGAAAGCGUAAUAGCUCACUGGUCGAGUCGGCCUGCGCGGAAGAUGUAACGGGGCUAAACCAUGCACCGAAGCUGCGGCAGCGACGCUGAUGCGUUGUUGGGUAGGGGAGCGUUCUGUAAGCCUGCGAAGGUGGCCUGUGAGGGUUGCUGGAGGUAUCAGAAGUGCGAAUGCUGACAUAAGUAACGAUAAAGCGGGUGAAAAGCCCGCUCGCCGGAAGACCAAGGGUUCCUGUCCAACGUUAAUCGGGGCAGGGUGAGUCGACCCCUAAGGCGAGGCCGAAAGGCGUAGUCGAUGGGAAACGGGUUAAUAUUCCCGUACUUGGUGUUACUGCGAAGGGGGGACGGAGAAGGCUAUGUUGGCCGGGCGACGGUUGUCCCGGUUUAAGCGUGUAGGUG